RNAcentral lists this ribosomal RNA (797 nucleotides) under Diacronema ennorea. Its description in RNAcentral is "eukaryotic LSU rRNA". It matches the Rfam family "Eukaryotic large subunit ribosomal RNA", at positions 219 to 1004 of the family's 3401-position model. Lineage: Eukaryota; Haptophyta; Pavlovophyceae; Pavlovales; Pavlovaceae. The record is from RNAcentral.
UCCCGUAUUUGGCCAUCGCUCUGUGCUGCUUCUGAUUUCCGGAGAGUCGGGUUGCUCGGGAUUGCAGCCUGAAUGGGAGGUAAAUUUCUCCUAAAGCUAAAUACUGGCGAGAGACCGAUAGCGAACAAGUACCGUGAGGGAAAGAUGCAAAGAACUUUGAAAAGAGAGUUAAAAAGUACCUGAACUUGUUGGGGGGAAAGCGUUUGCUUCCAGUGUGCCCGCGCGCAUUCAGCCCUGACGGGUGUACUUGCGCGUGGGCGGUCAGCGUGGGUUUUGCGCCGCGCUGAUGGCCCCCGCGAGGCCUUCGGGCAACCGGGUGGUCGUGCGCGGCUCUCGACCGAGGCUCGCUCUCUGGUGGGGUCGGCUGAUCGUGUCGCGGUCUCACAAGCUGCUUGUGCUCUGCGCGCGUGAUUCCCUACCUGCCUCCUAGCGUGACGCUGGCGAAAUGGGCGCAACCGACCCGUCUAGAAACACGGACCAAGGAGUCUGACGACUGCGCGAGUCUUUGGGUGUCAACCCCAUGGGCGCAAUGAAAGUGACUGAUGCUCAGCAUCGACCGACCGUGAUCUUCUGUGAAUGGUUUGAGUACGAGCGUGGUCGUCGGGACCCGAAAGAUGGUGAACUAUGCCUGAGUAGGGUGAAGCCUGAAGAAAUUCAGGUGGAGGCUCGUAGCGAUACUGACGUGCAAAUCGUUCGUCGAACUUGGGUAUAGGGGCGAAAGACUAAUCGAACCAUCUAGUAGCUGGUUCCCUCCGAAGUUUCCCUCAGGAUAGCUGGAGCUCUUUGUUCAGUUUUGU